CUCGGCACCGCUGCGUUCGGCUCCUGCUGCACAUCGCUCAUCUUCCCCGCCACCGGCUGAAGGCUGCUGGACGGCGGACUGAACCUGCGGCUGGUGCUCGGAUCUACCGGAAUGCGCAUCACAACAAUGUCAGCAAAGAUGAGCAGCAGUGCUGCGAGCCCCAUGGCAGCCAGCAGCAGCACCGCAGCCGGACGCGGAUCCGGAAAGGCCACCAGCUUCAUCCCUGAGCUCCAGAGCAUGAUGUUUGCCCUUGGUGACUCUCGAAGACCCCUGCACGAGACCGCCGCCCUGGUGGAAGACAUAGUGCACACCCAGCUCAUCAAUCUCCUCCAUCAGGCCGCUGAAGUGGCCCUCCUGAGAGGGGCCAGGGUCAUUUCACCAGAGGAUAUCAUCUUUCUAAUGAGGAAAGACAAGAAAAAAUUACGGCGGCUCAUCAAGUACAUGCAGUUCAGAGACUACAAAUCCAAAGUCCUAAAAACCAUUGACGAUGAGGACCUGCUGGAUUCAGACAAAUACAGCAGCAGCAGUGCCAACAAGAGGCAGCGUCUGGCGCAGGACUUCCUGGGCUCCAUCGACCAGACGGGGGAAUUCUUGUCUUUGGUGGAGGAAGAGGAGGUGGAUGAAGUCAAGCAGGAACGGCUGGAGAGAAUUGAGAAGAUGACAAGAAACAUGGAUUCCAGUCAGUACAGUGAUUUCUGUGAAAGUCGACAGCUGAGUUUCUCUAAAAAGGCCUCGAAAUUCCGCGAGUGGCUGGAUUGCAGCAGUCUGGAUGUGAAGCCCAAUGCCAUAUCCAUGGAGAUCCUGUCGUAUCUGGCCUACGAGACGGUGGCCCAGGUUGUCGACCUUGCCCUGUUGGUUAAACAAGAUAUGACUCCCAAAACAGGUGAUCCGUUUCAACAUGCCAUAUCAGCAACUUUCAUCCAGUACGGCAACUCCUCGGCUGAGGCUGCAAGCACCAAAAAGGAGACGGACUCUCCAGAAAACACCCCGCCAUCCACUCCCAGUGGCCCUCUGACCGCAGGACACCAGGGAAAGAUGCAUUCCAUGGCCCAGGGCAACGGUGGGCCAAACCAAGAUGGCAGCAUUAAGGUUAAACAGAGGAAAAGAAAGAAGAGUGCGGCGGCCUGUGGCGUGGAGGCUCAGAGCAGUGCCAUCCAACCAGCCCACAUCAGAGAGGCCAUCAGGCGCUACAGCCACAAGAUUGGCCCGCUCUCCCCCUUCUCAAGUGCCUACCGCAGGAACGGGAUGACUUUCCUGGCCUGCUGAGGUGAACGUGAGGGAGGAAGUUUGGAGGGAUACGGCAGAGGUGGGCUGUAGGAGUCGUCUCUGUCAGCGUGUGUCUUCCAUCAUCUGAUCUGUGAUCAGGCUCACAUGUGUCUGUGUGUUUACAGGAAUGUCCCAUCAUCCAUGGUGUUGUAAUACUUUAUUUUUUCAAGUGUAAUAUCUUGCUUUGUAUUCAUUUUUAUUUGGAUUUAGAGGAUUUAAUUUCAUUUUUAGGUUAAAAAUCUUGAAAUAAAAUAUGUUCUGUGAUGUAAA
Megalobrama amblycephala (Wuchang bream) is the source of this 1536-nucleotide RNA transcript. It is a transcript of the gene named SPT3 homolog, SAGA and STAGA complex component, with no coding region annotated. The transcript is spliced from 13 exons. Lineage: Eukaryota; Metazoa; Chordata; Actinopteri; Cypriniformes; Xenocyprididae. The record is from RefSeq and is a predicted model, not a curated record.